AGAAGAUUGCCAUCCAUCCGUAACUCAUCCAAAGCAUAAAGUCCACGAAAGCUGCCCUCGCUGAGGGAGGAGAGAGAGUUGAAGGAUAUCCAGAGGUAUUCCAGGCUGAUGAGAUGAGGAAACGAUCGCACUUCAGUCGGAACUGGAGGCUGUGGAGAAGCAGAUCCUGGAUCUACUAGAGAAGCAGACACGCCUGCGAGAACGAAAAAUGGCGCUGGAAACAUCCAGAGCUGACGAUCGCAAAUCCGCGAGCCCAGGCUUCGAGAACAUGGUCAGCCCAAAUGAACUUCACUCCUGCACCGGCACACCCAUGGCGAAAGGCGCGAGCUAGGACUGGAGCGAUGACCCAACCGCCGCCACCGGUCUUCGAGAUCCCGACCAGGAACCGCUUUGUCGCCCUCUGCGAGACGGAAUGCAACGCUGUGGUCAUCGGAGACUCAAUCGUCCGGAACGUACGCGCUUCCUCCACUAAAGGUAAGGUGCGCACUCAUUGUUUUCCUGGCGCCCGUGUUCUUGAUGCUCUGCGCAGGUACCUGCGAUCCUGAAGGACGAUGCUAACGUCGGAGCUGUCGUGCUGCACGCGGGGGUGAAUGACGUCAGGAUGAGGCAGUCGGAGAUCCUGAAGAGGGACUUCAGGAGUCUGAUCGAGACGGUACGCAACGCAUCGCCCACGGCGAGGAUCAUCGUAUCAGGGCCGCUUCCUACCUACCGACGAGGGAAUGAAAAGUUCAGUAGACUAUUUGCUCUAAAUAAAUGUUGAUGUCAUGGUGUAUUGAACAGAAGCUGCUCUUUGUUAAUAAUUUUGAUCUGUUCUGGGAGCGACCUAGGCUCUUCCGCCCUGACGGCCUGCACCCCAGAGCAUCGGAGCGGUUCUUCUGUCUGACAACAUCUCAAAGACGC
This is a long non-coding RNA of Triplophysa rosa, 900 nucleotides long. RefSeq lists it as uncharacterized. The record is from RefSeq and is a predicted model, not a curated record. The transcript has 3 exons. Lineage: Eukaryota; Metazoa; Chordata; Actinopteri; Cypriniformes; Nemacheilidae.